GAUGAACGCUGGCGGCGUGCUUAACACAUGCAAGUCGAACGAAGAAGAGUUGAAUGAGAGCUUCGGCAGGAUUUCUUCUCAUCUUAGUGGCGGACGGGUGAGUAACGUGUGGGCAACCUGCCCUAUACUGGGGAAUAAUCACUGGAAACGGUGACUAAUACCGCAUGUCAUCACCGGAGGGCAUCCUCUGGUGAAAAAAGGAGUAAUUCGGUAUAGGAUGGCCUCGCGUCUGAUUAGCUAGUUGGUGAGGUAACGGCCCACCAAGGCGACGAUCAGUAGCCGGACUGAGAGGUUGGACGGCCACAUUGGGACUGAGACACGGCCCAGACUCCUACGGGAGGCAGCAGUGGGGAAUAUUGCACAAUGGGGGAAACCCUGAUGCAGCGAUGCCGCGUGGAGGAAGAAGGUUUUCGGAUUGUAAACUCCUGUCGUAAGGGACGAUAAUGACGGUACCUUACAAGAAAGCUCCGGCUAACUACGUG
RNAcentral lists this ribosomal RNA (482 nucleotides) under uncultured bacterium. RNAcentral's name for it is "bacterial SSU rRNA". It matches the Rfam family "Bacterial small subunit ribosomal RNA", at positions 28 to 507 of the family's 1533-position model. The record is from RNAcentral.